GAUGAACGCUGGCGGCGUGCUUAACACAUGCAAGUCGAACGAUGAAGCCCAGCUUGCUGGGUGGAUUAGUGGCGAACGGGUGAGUAACACGUGAGUAACCUGCCCUUAACUCUGGGAUAAGCCUGGGAAACUGGGUCUAAUACCGGAUAGGAGCGUCCACCGCAUGGUGGGUGUUGGAAAGAUUUAUCGGUUUUGGAUGGACUCGCGGCCUAUCAGCUUGUUGGUGAGGUAAUGGCUCACCAAGGCGACGACGGGUAGCCGGCCUGAGAGGGUGACCGGCCCAACGGGGCUAGAGACCCGGCCCGGACCCCUUCGGGGGGGAGCAGGGGGGAAUUUGGCAAAAUGGGCGAAGGCCUAAUGGAGGAACCCCGCGGGGGGGAUGACGGCCUUGGGGUUGAAACCCUUUUUCAGUAGGGAAGAGGGAAAGGUGACGGUCCUUGCAGAAGAAGCACGGGUAAAUCAGUG
Molecule: ribosomal RNA, 465 nt
Filed under: uncultured bacterium
Lineage: Bacteria
Description: partial 16S ribosomal RNA
Rfam family: Bacterial small subunit ribosomal RNA
Source: RNAcentral